Molecule: unclassified non-coding RNA, 337 nt
Filed under: soil metagenome
Description: partial contains 5.8S ribosomal RNA, internal transcribed spacer 2, and large subunit ribosomal RNA
Rfam family: 5.8S ribosomal RNA (bases 1-120)
Source: RNAcentral
GAUGAAGAACGUAGCGAAAUGCGAUAAGUAGUGUGAAUUGCAGAAUUCAGUGAAUCAUCGAAUCUUUGAACGCACAUUGCGCCCUUUGGUAUUCCUUAGGGCAUGCCUGUUCGAGCGUCAUUUACAAAUUCAAGCUCAGCUUGGUGAUGGGUGUCUGUCCCGCCUUUGCGUGUGGACUCGCCUCAAAUGCAGUUAGCAGCUUGUUCCUCGGCUCUAAACGCAGCAGAUUUGCGUCGAGCGUCGUGCGGACGGGCUCUCCAGUAAGCAAACCCCCACAAAUUGACCUCGGAUCAGGUAGGGAUACCCGCUGAACUUAAGCAUAUCAAUAAGCGGAGGA